UUAAAACGCUCGUAGUCGGAUUUCGGGGCGGGCCGACCGGUCUGCCGAUGGGUAUGCACUGGCCGGCGCGUCCUUCCACCCGGAGACCGCGCCUACUCUUAACUGAGCGGGCGCGGGAGACGGGUCUUUUACUUUGAAAAAUCAGAGUGUUUCAAGCAGGCAGUCGCUCUUGCAUGGAUUAGCAUGGGAUAAUGAAAUAGGACUCUGGUGCUAUUUUGUUGGUUUCGAACACCGGAGUAAUGAUUAACAGGGACAGUCAGGGGCACUCGUAUUCCGCCGAGAGAGGUGAAAUUCUCAGACCAGCGGAAGACGAACCACUGCGAAAGCAUUUGCCAGGGGAUGUUUUCACUGAUCAAGAACGAAAGUUAGGGGAUCGAAGACGAUCAGAUACCGUCGUAGUCUUAACCAUAAGCCAUGCCGACUAAGGAUUGGA
RNAcentral lists this ribosomal RNA (433 nucleotides) under uncultured marine eukaryote. RNAcentral describes it as "SSU rRNA". It matches the Rfam family "Eukaryotic small subunit ribosomal RNA", at positions 619 to 1057 of the family's 1831-position model. The record is from RNAcentral.